RNAcentral lists this ribosomal RNA (546 nucleotides) under uncultured bacterium. RNAcentral describes it as "bacterial SSU rRNA". It matches the Rfam family "Bacterial small subunit ribosomal RNA", at positions 777 to 1320 of the family's 1533-position model. The record is from RNAcentral.
AAUAGAUACCCCGGUAGUCCACCCCGUAAACGUUGGGAACUAGUUGUGGGGUCCUUUCCACGGAUUCCGUGACGCAGCUAACGCAUUAAGUUCCCCGCCUGGGGAGUACGGCCGCAAGGCUAAAACUCAAAGGAAUUGACGGGGACCCGCACAAAGCGGCGGAGCAUGCGGAUUAAUUCGAUGCAACGCGAAGAACCUUACCAAGGCUUGACAUACACCAGAACACCCUAGAAAUAGGGGACUCUUUGGACACUGGUGAACAGGUGGUGCAUGGUUGUCGUCAGCUCGUGUCGUGAGAUGUUGGGUUAAGUCCCGCAACGAGCGCAACCCUCGUUCUAUGUUGCCAGCACGUAAUGGUGGGAACUCAUGGGAUACUGCCGGGGUCAACUCGGAGGAAGGUGGGGAUGACGUCAAAUCAUCGAUGCCCCUUAUGUCUUGGGCUUCACGCAUGCUACAAUGGCCGGUACAAAGGGCUGCAAUACCGUGAGGUGGAGCGAAUCCCAAAAGCCGGUCCCAGUUCGGAUUGAGGUCUGCAACUCGACCUCA